Molecule: ribosomal RNA, 1354 nt
Filed under: Staphylococcus saprophyticus
Lineage: Bacteria; Bacillati; Bacillota; Bacilli; Caryophanales; Staphylococcaceae
Description: bacterial SSU rRNA
Rfam family: Bacterial small subunit ribosomal RNA
Source: RNAcentral
GCUGGCGGCGUGCCUAAUACAUGCAAGUCGAGCGAACAGAUAAGGAGCUUGCUCCUUUGACGUUAGCGGCGGACGGGUGAGUAACACGUGGGUAACCUACCUAUAAGACUGGGAUAACUUCGGGAAACCGGAGCUAAUACCGGAUAACAUUUGGAACCGCAUGGUUCUAAAGUGAAAGAUGGUUUUGCUAUCACUUAUAGAUGGACCCGCGCCGUAUUAGCUAGUUGGUAAGGUAACGGCUUACCAAGGCGACGAUACGUAGCCGACCUGAGAGGGUGAUCGGCCACACUGGAACUGAGACACGGUCCAGACUCCUACGGGAGGCAGCAGUAGGGAAUCUUCCGCAAUGGGCGAAAGCCUGACGGAGCAACGCCGCGUGAGUGAUGAAGGGUUUCGGCUCGUAAAACUCUGUUAUUAGGGAAGAACAAACGUGUAAGUAACUGUGCACGUCUUGACGGUACCUAAUCAGAAAGCCACGGCUAACUACGUGCCAGCAGCCGCGGUAAUACGUAGGUGGCAAGCGUUAUCCGGAAUUAUUGGGCGUAAAGCGCGCGUAGGCGGUUUCUUAAGUCUGAUGUGAAAGCCCACGGCUCAACCGUGGAGGGUCAUUGGAAACUGGGAAACUUGAGUGCAGAAGAGGAAAGUGGAAUUCCAUGUGUAGCGGUGAAAUGCGCAGAGAUAUGGAGGAACACCAGUGGCGAAGGCGACUUUCUGGUCUGUAACUGACGCUGAUGUGCGAAAGCGUGGGGAUCAAACAGGAUUAGAUACCCUGGUAGUCCACGCCGUAAACGAUGAGUGCUAAGUGUUAGGGGGUUUCCGCCCCUUAGUGCUGCAGCUAACGCAUUAAGCACUCCGCCUGGGGAGUACGACCGCAAGGUUGAAACUCAAAGGAAUUGACGGGGACCCGCACAAGCGGUGGAGCAUGUGGUUUAAUUCGAAGCAACGCGAAGAACCUUACCAAAUCUUGACAUCCUUUGAAAACUCUAGAGAUAGAGCCUUCCCCUUCGGGGGACAAAGUGACAGGUGGUGCAUGGUUGUCGUCAGCUCGUGUCGUGAGAUGUUGGGUUAAGUCCCGCAACGAGCGCAACCCUUAAGCUUAGUUGCCAUCAUUAAGUUGGGCACUCUAGGUUGACUGCCGGUGACAAACCGGAGGAAGGUGGGGAUGACGUCAAAUCAUCAUGCCCCUUAUGAUUUGGGCUACACACGUGCUACAAUGGACAAUACAAAGGGCAGCUAAACCGCGAGGUCAUGCAAAUCCCAUAAAGUUGUUCUCAGUUCGGAUUGUAGUCUGCAACUCGACUACAUGAAGCUGGAAUCGCUAGUAAUCGUAGAUCAGCAUGCUACGGUGAAUACG